UGGGGAAUAUUGCACAAUGGGCGCAAGCCUGAUGCAGCCAUGCCGCGUGUAUGAAGAAGGCCUUCGGGUUGUAAAGUACUUUCAGUCGGGAGGAAGGUGUCAAGGUUAAUAACCUUGGCAAUUGACGUUACCCGCAGAAGAAGCACCGGCUAACUCCGUGCCAGCAGCCGCGGUAAUACGGAGGGUGCAAGCGUUAAUCGGAAUUACUGGGCGUAAAGCGCACGCAGGCGGUUUGUUAAGUCAGAUGUGAAAUCCCCGGGCUCAACCUGGGAGCUGCAUCUGAUAGUGGCAAGCUUGAGUCUCGUAGAGGGGGGUAGAAUUCCAGGUGUAGCGGUGAAAUGCGUAGAGAUCUGGAGGAAUACCGGUGGCGGAGGCGACCCCCUGGACGAAGACUGACGCUCAGGUGCGAAAGCGUGGGGAGCAAACAGG
RNAcentral lists this ribosomal RNA (429 nucleotides) under Chloroflexota bacterium. Its description in RNAcentral is "Chloroflexi bacterium partial 16S ribosomal RNA". It matches the Rfam family "Bacterial small subunit ribosomal RNA", at positions 355 to 776 of the family's 1533-position model. The record is from RNAcentral. Lineage: Bacteria; Bacillati; Chloroflexota.